CUCGAUUAAAAGUGCACCUGUAUAGCAUCUAAAGAUCAGAGAUGCCAAAUAUUAACACCUUUGUUAAUUUGUAGGAAACUUAAACCUAGGUUUUAAGCAAUUCAACUCUAGGUGCUCAUAUAACUAUUAACUAUUGUUGUUACUCAUAAGUGCUUAGUGAGCCUGCUUCCUCUGCCCUAAAGUUCCCUAUGACCAUGGGAGGUGGGAAGGUGGGGCAUGGGAGGUUUAUCUGUGAUAAUACAUGUGUGCAUGUACAGAACUACCUUUUUGGUGUUUUUCAAAGAAUAAGGAAUCAAUUUUGCUCGAACCUAGCUCCCAAAACUCACUGUAGAAGAGAAAUAACUGUCUCAUGGAGAUUGCAUUGCAGUUUUCCAAGGAUGAAAGAUACUAACCACAGUUAAAUCUCAACUCCAUUAUGAAGUGAAUACCUUUUGCCACUCCUUUCAGAAGAAAAUGGAAGCAGUGAGAGGUUGAAAUGAUUUCUGGAUUCCAUAGACAAAAACCAAUCCUGAAACAGAAUCCAAGAUUUCUGGGUCACAUUAAUGAAUAGACCUGGUUUAUUCCCAGCUUCUCACUCUGGUGUGUCGUAAAGAUUUGCCUGUAAUGAGCUCUGAGCUACUUAUACUUAGUCAUCUCCCAUGAAAACAAGUAUUACAUACAGAUGGGCCACCCCUGCCCCUCAUCAGGCUUCACAAAGGAGCCAGUCUGUGUGGAUUUGUUUCCCUACACUUCCUAGAAACAGCUGCUCUAUGUGCUGAAGAAUAAGAAGCCAUCCAUUGGAAGUGCUGGCUCAUUUCUUGAACCCAUUUCAGAGUUCCUGUCUGAGCGAUCGCUUCAAGUAAAGAAGGCGCCCCAGAUAAAAAGGCAGGCAGUCCAGACACCACAGCAUGUGCAUGCCACACGCAUGCGCCCCCCCAACCCCUAUGAUGAGAAGACACACCCUCGAGUGAUGAACUUCUUUCUGUGCUGGAGCCCAUGGGGUCCUCUGAGUCCCACUUCCUGCCUUCCUCAGGUACCUGCUUCUGACUGCAGAAGGCUCUUCCGUCCCAGGAUUGUGGUUUCUCACCAGUUUCUCAACAGUUUCCUUUGUUAUAAAACUUGAGAGAAAACAUUCCUCUAGUAGAAAGAGACUGCCUUCAUCCACCCUUUGGAAUAACCAGCUCCAGCCUAGGUCCCAUUUCCUGCACUGGUGGAAGAAAAGUCUCUUCUUCGCUAAGUGGUUCCUUUGAUGACCUUAUAGAUUCAGGCAGCUUGGGAAGGGAAGUUUCUCUAAAAGCCACAGAGCGUCCAGCUCAUGGAACCCUCAGGAUCCCUGGCCCAUCUUAGGCCACAUGGAGUCAGCCUCGUGCCCCCAGCCCAUCUGUUCCUGUGCACUGCACUCCAGUGGGUCUCACCCUUGCAUCCAGGGUUCUCUCCCACAGGAUGAGCUUGUCAACAUUCUCUUUUUCUAACACACACACUUGUCAGCAGGUGCUGGUAUAAGCCAAGCUGAGCUCGUGGGAGGAUGGCAAGAGAAUAGGCCCAACAGUCUUUGUGGGAGACAGAGCCCACGUUUCUCCACAAACAGCUUCCGGGAAGAGUGGACGGGUCAGACUAGACCAAACCAGCCUCUUGAGAACACCACACUGCCCAGACCCACUUAGUGCCUCCGUGUAACCCGCUGGUUAGAGUCCACCUGCUAGGCAGCCAGAAGCGGCAAAAGCCCAGCCCCACUGUCCCAUUCUUGACCUGGUCCUCCAUGCUCACUGUGACAGCAGCACAGGCACCCCGACCGGGCCACAGCGAGCUGGUGGCCAUGUCCCUGGCUCUGCUAACUUGGCCUAUCUCAUUUCUUAACCUGUUUUUCAUGAUGUGGACCUCUUGAGAGUAUACUUGAAAAAAGUGAAUUAUCUAUGUGGAUAAAGGACUGGUACACUAUGUUGAAAACGUAACAAACCAACCAGAUGGGAAAGCAUCUGUGCUAUGGGACUUUUUUGUUUGCUUGUUUUGUUUAAUAGGCAUAUUUUAUUUAAAUAAAUCUUCC
This 2023-nucleotide long non-coding RNA is filed under the name Homo sapiens (human). RNAcentral's name for it is "HSALNT0115775". Lineage: Eukaryota; Metazoa; Chordata; Mammalia; Primates; Hominidae. The record is from RNAcentral.